This 1132-nucleotide long non-coding RNA is filed under the name Citrus sinensis (sweet orange). RNAcentral describes it as "long non-coding RNA (CSIN_LNC001670)". Lineage: Eukaryota; Viridiplantae; Streptophyta; Magnoliopsida; Sapindales; Rutaceae. The record is from RNAcentral.
AAACCCCUCCCAGCAGAGCUGCGAGCAGCAGAUACAGCAGCAGCAGCAACUCCGCCAGUGCCAGAUGCACUUGAGGCAGCAGGUCCGCGACCGGCAGCAGGAAGGGGAGGACGGCCUGUGGGGCAGCAGCCUUGGCGACAAUCAACAACAGCAGUAUCUUCGACAAUGCUGCCAACAACUGCAGCAGCUGGACAACAGAUGCCGCUGCCCGGGGCUAGAGCAAGCGUUGAGAAGCCAGCUGCAGCAAGGACAGAUACAGGGCGGGAUGUUGCGACAAGCUUAUGAGUCGGCCAGUCAAAUUCCUCGCAAGUGCAACAUUUCUCCAAGGCAGGGCUGUGACUUCAGUUCACCUUACUUCUAGAUACGUGUUUCUAAUAAUAAUGGCUAGCGUGUGUGCUCUGGUGGUGCCCCCGGGGUGGGGCGGGGGGGUGGGUGGGAGUGCAUGAUAUAUGCUACAGCAGCCAAGGCAGGGCUGUGACGUCAGUUCACCUUACUUGUAGAUACGUGUUUCUAAUAAUAAUGGCUAGCGUGUGUGCUCUGGUGGUGCCCCCGGGGUGGGGCGGGGGGGUGGGUGGGAGUGCAUGAUAUAUGCAUGCAAGUUAGUAAUAAAAUUAAGUUCACUGUUAAAGAGUGACUAGCUUUAGAGUAUAAUAAAUCACGUCGCCGUGUGUCUUUAAUUUGCCUGUAGGUGAUGAGUAGUGUGUAAUUAUGUAGACUUAAUAGGCUGCAGUGUGGAAUCGAAGUCGCUUUAUUAAGAAAAGAGUGUUAUCUUUGUUAAUUUCUUAUAGUGUACUUUGUUUUACUCUGGUUUCUACAUUUAUCACCUGAGCUUGUCCAAUUAUACCACACUAUCAUGGCAAUGAAAAUUAAUUAAUCUCCUGUUUAGGGAGCUCCAUUACAAAUGAUAAUAUGUAAAGACUAACAUUGAAAAAUAGUAAUUUAUAGAACAGCUGGGGGUGGGCCUUGCGAGGAUUCAGUAAAUAUUGUUUCACCUGCUUAAUAAACAUAACUUGAACGACCAAAAUCUUUUAUCUUAAUAAGAGGUUCUGGUGGAAGAGACAGUUCUAUGUAGUGUUCAAUACCGACCGUUACCCCUGCGGAUAGUAGUGUGGCAGCGGGCAUAUUAAUUUCU